GAUGAACGCUGGCGGCGUGCCUAAUACAUGCAAGUCGAGCGAACAGACGAGGAGCUUGCUCCUCUGACGUUAGCGGCGGACGGGUGAGUAACACGUGGAUAACCCACCUAUAAGACUGGGAUAACUUCGGGAAACCGGAGCUAAUACCGGAUAAUAUAUUGAACCGCAUGGUUCAAUAGUGAAAGACGGUUUUGCUGUCACUUAUAGAUGGAUCCGCGCCGCAUUAGCUAGUUGGUAAGGUAACGGCUUACCAAGGCAACGAUGCGUAGCCGACCUGAGAGGGUGAUCGGCCACACUGGAACUGAGACACGGUCAGACUCCUACGGGAGGCAGCAGUAGGGAAUCUUCCGCAAUGGGCGAAAGCCUGACGGAGCAACGCCGCGUGAGUGAUGAAGGUCUUCGGAUCGUAAAACUCUGUUAUUAGGGAAGAACAAAUGUGUAAGUAACUAUGCACGUCUUGACGGUACCUAAUCAGAAAGCCACGGCUAACUACGUG
This 496-nucleotide ribosomal RNA is filed under the name uncultured bacterium. Its description in RNAcentral is "partial 16S ribosomal RNA". It matches the Rfam family "Bacterial small subunit ribosomal RNA", at positions 28 to 507 of the family's 1533-position model. The record is from RNAcentral.